GAAGAACAUGCCAUAUUGACC
RNAcentral lists this microRNA (21 nucleotides) under Cordylochernes scorpioides. Lineage: Eukaryota; Metazoa; Arthropoda; Arachnida; Pseudoscorpiones; Chernetidae. The record is from RNAcentral.